Molecule: long non-coding RNA, 489 nt
Organism: Pseudophryne corroboree (corroboree frog)
Lineage: Eukaryota; Metazoa; Chordata; Amphibia; Anura; Myobatrachidae
Exons: 4
Source: RefSeq, a predicted model, not a curated record
UUGAUCCUUAAAUAGUGCUCAGCUGAGGCUGAACUUUAUGCAGCUUCCAUUUGGCUCUGGACACUUGAGCAACUGAGUGUCUGACACAUGUACAGAGCCCACAAGCUGCCAUGAGCUAUUUCUACAUGUAACUAGGUGACUACGCCUUGCAGCUUCCCCUACGUUAUAGGCUUUUUAACUUCAUUAUGUGAUCAGGCAUGUUGCCAACUUUGAAGGCCAUUCCACACAUCUGAGUGAUCUGGCUUGCCGUCCAGGUGAUUUAAGUGCCAAUCUUGAUAAAGGUCCGCAUAAGGACCGAAACGUCGAUGAAAUACGGCAUCAACAGUGAACCCGAAUAAAAAUAUACUGAAUUUACAAGUGACUUCAGAGACUAAUUUCUGGGCGUGAGUGCACCUUCCACCUAGGUGGUUGUUGUGGUAUAUUGGUGGCCUCUCUGGUCAUUAGGAGCACCCGCCGUCGUUAUUACUUUUGAUGAGAGUGCAGGAUCUU